Molecule: unclassified non-coding RNA, 347 nt
Filed under: soil metagenome
Description: partial contains 5.8S ribosomal RNA, internal transcribed spacer 2, and large subunit ribosomal RNA
Rfam family: 5.8S ribosomal RNA (bases 1-120)
Source: RNAcentral
GAUGAAGAACGUAGCGAAAUGCGAUAAGUAAUGAGAAUUGCAGAAUUCAGUGAAUCAUCGAGUCUUUGAACGCACAUUGCGCCCCCUGGUAUUCCGGGGGGCAUGCCUGUCCGAGCGUCAUUGCUGCCCUCAAGCACGGCUUGUGUGUUGGGCCGUCGUCCCCCUCCUAGGGGACGGGCCCGAAAGGCAGCGGCGGCACCGCGUCCGGUCCUCGAGCGUAUGGGGCUUCGUCACCCGCUCCGUAGGCCCGGCCGGCGCUUGCCGACGACCAUCAAUCUCUUUCUCCAGGUUGACCUCGGAUCAGGUAGGGAUACCCGCUGAACUUAAGCAUAUCAAUAAGCGGAGGA